RNAcentral lists this long non-coding RNA (251 nucleotides) under Elaeis guineensis (African oil palm). RNAcentral describes it as "long non-coding RNA (EGUI_LNC051665)". The record is from RNAcentral. Lineage: Eukaryota; Viridiplantae; Streptophyta; Magnoliopsida; Arecales; Arecaceae.
AAUGAGCUAGCCGAGCAACUGAUUUUCAUCCCGUUAAAAGAAGAAGAUCCUGAGAAGAUGGUCCAAAUUAGAUCGCAGUUGUCUGAUCCGAAGCGACAAUAACUGAUGAAUCUAUUAAGAGCGAACGUCGAUAUUUUGCUUGGUCCGCAACAGAUAUGUCAGAAAUUUCUCCAAAAGUAAUAACCCACCGGCUGAACAUUGAUCUUAAAGUUAAGCCGAUGAGACAAAAGAAAAGAUUUUUUUCUCCUGAA